AAACCGUAUACCCACCUGCUGUUUUGUGCUUGAAAUAAAACAAACUGCACUCUUUUCUAAGGUACAGGAAGCACCCAAGGCACCUCCUCCUCCUCCCCCAGCGCCACCUAAGAUGGAAAGCAAAGCAGAGCCGGCGGUGAAGAAAGAGGACACAUCUGCAACAAAAGCAACGGCAGCAGCUGCAACAAAAGCAGAGGGAUCUGCCAAGAGCAAAACUAAAGACAGUGCAUUAAGCAAACUCUUCCGUUCAAAGGUCGACGUGUCUAAGAGCAGCACUCUCGAGGCCGCCGCCAAACCUGAAGAACCUCCAGCACCAAAACCAGAGGAGAAGAAACUAGAGAAAAAAUCCACUUUUGGAAGCAGGUUCAAACCCAAGGUAAAGGCCAGAUGAGUUGGAGUGCAGGUGUGUGAGUGUAUCAGAUGUGUUAGUGCAUGCAGUAACAGAUUUGUGUGGUUUGAGGUACUGCUCGGCCAGGUGAGCAGCAGGAUCCAGGCAGCGGCGUCCAGCGCUGCCUCCAGCAUCUCCCUCAUGUCUGCUGCAGCGGUAAACGCCGCUAUACCAGACCCGUAUACAUUAACCAGCUGCUCUGACACGCGUGUCUGUGUGUGUCUGUUCUCUGACACUACGAGUGAAAAUCGAGUCAAAACACAGUGGCAC
Molecule: long non-coding RNA, 658 nt
Filed under: Sinocyclocheilus anshuiensis
Lineage: Eukaryota; Metazoa; Chordata; Actinopteri; Cypriniformes; Cyprinidae
Description: lncRNA (ENSSANG00000035450.1)
Source: RNAcentral